ACUGAGAGCUGCUACAGCAACUUCUUCACCCACAGCAGCCAUGACUUUAAUCCCCAUCUUCAUCUGGACCCUGAUCUUCUGCUCUCAAGAGUCCAUAGGUCAGGUGACUGUGACUCAGAGUCCUGCAGUGAAAUCUGCUCUUCCAGGAGACAUCGUCACCAUCAGCUGCAGGACCAGUCCUGCUGUUUUUAACAACAACUACUUACACUGGUAUCAGCAGAAACCUGGAGAAGCUCCUAAACUCCUGAUUAAACUUGUGAAUCAGCUUCAGUCUGGUUUUGCAGCUCGUUUCAGUGGUAGUGGAUCUGGAUCUGACUUCACUCUGACCAUCAGUGGAGUCCAGCCUGAAGAUGCUGCAGAUUAUUACUGUCAGAGUCGUCAUUAUAUCAGCAGCACCCACCUGUUCACACAGUGAUAUAACGCCGUACAAAAACCUCCGUCACUCAGUCCGGCUGCACAGAGACUGCACUGCUGCAGUGGGAUCUCCUGCAGGUGCUGAGAUGGAGGAAGUGAAACAACACAAUCACACACA
Molecule: non-coding RNA, 532 nt
Organism: Astyanax mexicanus (Mexican tetra)
Lineage: Eukaryota; Metazoa; Chordata; Actinopteri; Characiformes; Acestrorhamphidae
Source: the annotation of a RefSeq genome assembly